ACUUCACCAUCAUAAACACACAGUGUCUAAUGAUUACCAAUUUCAUCAAUCGCUUUAAAACAGCAACAACAAAUCAUCAAUAACCACCACCAAUAAAGUCAUACUAUAGAUCAAAUCGUAUAAUGCCAUUGGUUUUCAUUGGA
Molecule: long non-coding RNA, 143 nt
Organism: Dermatophagoides pteronyssinus (European house dust mite)
Lineage: Eukaryota; Metazoa; Arthropoda; Arachnida; Sarcoptiformes; Pyroglyphidae
Source: RefSeq, a predicted model, not a curated record